CGUAAGUGGGCGGAACGGGUAGGGAGGUAACGCGUGAGGAACCUGCCUCAAAGAGGGGGACAACAGUUGGAAACGACUGCUAAUACCGCAUAAGCCCACGACCCGGCAUCGGGAAGAGGGAAAAGGAGCAAUCCGCUUUGAGAUGGCCUCGCGUCCGAUUAGCUGGUUGGUGAGGUAACGGCCCACCAAGGCGACGAUCGGUAGCCGGACUGAGAGGUUGAACGGCCACAUUGGGACUGAGACACGGCCCAG
RNAcentral lists this ribosomal RNA (252 nucleotides) under uncultured bacterium. RNAcentral's name for it is "partial 16S ribosomal RNA". It matches the Rfam family "Bacterial small subunit ribosomal RNA", at positions 104 to 334 of the family's 1533-position model. The record is from RNAcentral.